AGGAUCAUUAACAAAUUACAACGUUUGUUGAAACACACUCUGCGUAUCUUUACAUGUUGCUUCCCCCCGUCGGGCUCGUUCCGGGCGGGGGGGAGGGAGCCCCAAACUCUUGCAAUCGAAGGAAUCGGUCUGAAGGAAAACCUGUUUGUAUUCAAACGUUUUAAAACUUUCAACAACGGAUCUCUUGGUUCUCCCAUCGAUGAAGAACGCAGCGAAAUGCGAUAAGUAGUGUGAAUUGCAGAAUUCAGUGAAUCAUCGAAUCUUUGAACGCACAUUGCGCCCUCCGGUAUUCCGGNGGGCAUGCCUGUUCGAGCGUCAUCAAAACCACUCAGGUUGAUGUUUUUCGAAACCCCAGCNUGGUCUUGGGCGCGAGGGAUCAGAACCCUCUGCCUGCAAUGCAGUGGCGGAUNUNCCGGCCUGGCAAGAGCGUGAUAAACACGUCGUUCGCGAUUGGAGGCCGGAAUGCACAGCCAUAAUGAACCCCCAAAUCUAUUUUAAAGUUUGACCUCGGAUCAGGUAGGGAUACCCGCUGAACUUAAGCAUAUCAAUAAGCGGAGGAAAAGAAACCAACAGGGAUUGCCUUAGUAACUGCGAGUGAAGCGGCAAAAGCUCAAAUUUGAAAUCUGUGCCCUUCCGGGCACCGAGUUGUAAUCUUGAGAUACGUUUUCGACCGACAGGCCUGCCUUAAGUUCCUUGGAACAGGGCGUCACAGAGGGUGAGAAUCCCGUGAAGGGUAGGCCUCGAGGCGCAUGAUACGUAUUCGACGAGUCGAGUUGUUUGGGAAUGCAGCUCAAAAUGGGUGGUAAAUUUCAUCUAAAGCUAAAUAUUGGGGAGAGACCGAUAGCGCACAAGUAGAGUGAUCGAAAGAUGAAAAGCACUUUGAAAAGAGAGUUAAAAAGUACGUGAAAUUGUUGAAAGGGAAGCGCUUGAGACCAGACUCAAUCUCCGUUGAUCAACUUCAGUUCUCUGUUGUGCACUCAUCGGCCUUUGGGACAGCAUCGGUUCCCNCGGAGGGACAAAGCCUCAGGAAAUGUGGCACCC
This 1041-nucleotide ribosomal RNA is filed under the name Pyronemataceae sp. src840. Its description in RNAcentral is "eukaryotic LSU rRNA". The stretch from base 503 to 1041 matches the Rfam family "Eukaryotic large subunit ribosomal RNA", at positions 1 to 544 of the family's 3401-position model. The record is from RNAcentral. Lineage: Eukaryota; Fungi; Ascomycota; Pezizomycetes; Pezizales; Pyronemataceae.